Molecule: long non-coding RNA, 1897 nt
Filed under: Malus domestica (apple)
Lineage: Eukaryota; Viridiplantae; Streptophyta; Magnoliopsida; Rosales; Rosaceae
Description: long non-coding RNA (MDOM_LNC019060)
Source: RNAcentral
AAAAGAUUGACUUUCAGGGCAUAUUUCCAACAAUCUCCCACUUGCACUAAAGUCAAUCACUAGUGUUUCUUAUACAUCUUGUCGAGAGAGUUUAUGCUCGUAGGUUAACUUGGUUAUGUAUUAAUCCCUUUUCAUUUAAAAGGGAUUUACUUAUCAAAUGUUUCCAAAACAUUUGAUGAUGUCUCUUUAUUGUGUUCGAAUACUUUGAUGAGACCUUGAUUCCAUGGCUUGAGCUAUCGCCCCAUUACGUCGUAGUACCCUACUAACGACCUUAUGGUUUGGAUUCAAUCAUUGGUUCUAAAAGAAACCCCUUCCAUUCAAAAACACCUUUUGAAGCAGUUUCUAAAACUAUAUAUCGACAUAUAUUUCGUUUGUAUACUUUAUACAAAUUUUGCUCCAACCUUGAGACCAUUGUAGUACAAUACUAACAAUUCAUUUAUAUGAUUAGUACUUCAUCCAUUAUGAAGUUCCAUUUGUUAAAAUGGCUUAUUUUUCACUUUGAUUAACAACCUAAGUGAAUGCACGCUUCCAGAGUCCUACUCUGAUGUUUCUUUCUCAAAGGCAAUAAUACUCUAUCAGUUGCUUUGGUUCUGAUCCUGGGACAUAGUAAUAUCUUAAAGUGACAACCCAUGUGGUUCUUCACCUUUGGAUAUCUACUUCACAAGUCCAUACAUGUGUCCCUUUUGUGAUUUUAUGACACAUUCAUUAUAAGGGUUAUGAAAGUGAUUUCCUAUCACAUAGGAAAAUACUUUCUUAAAUCUACAACAUUUGAGAUUUAUUUCCCAUAUAACAUUAUUGAGACAGCCUUGCUAUAUCAAUAAGUCCAAUUUCAAGUCUAUACUUCAAAAUUGACCGUGUCAUGUAUUGUCAUUUUUCGAGUAACAUCUAUGUUUUAUUAAGUCUAUCAAAUGGACUUUAUUCACAUCUUGUUGCUCAAAUUAUGACAUCACUCCCACUGGCCUUGUUGUAACAUAGCAUUCAUUCAAAGAAUAACAAUUAUAUUUUCUUGAUUUGAAUGCAUAUUGCUCCCACUAACUUAAAUGAAUCAUACACAAAAGAAUUCCUUCUCAAGUAAUUCCAUGAAAUGUGUAUGACUUGCUUUAUCAAGUCAAUCCAUUUAAAUUAUAUGGUGUCAUACACCAUACUUCAAGUUUUAGUCAUACUAAGACCUUUAAUGUAGUCAUAUAAGAAUUAUCUAAGUCUUUAGUGAAGCAUGGCUCCUACUAAGGAUAAAAACUUAACCAUUCCUCCUAGGUGGUUGAUAUAAUUCUUUAUCAGAACUACAUAGAGCAAUAUCGUUACAUGAGAUGUUGAAUUUGGUUUGUCUUAUUGUUAAACCACAUGUUGUGACUCAUUUUGAAAUUUAUUCCCUUUUGUUUCAUCAACUUGUCCAUAUGCUUUCUUUAUUAGCUUGUUCUCAUAAAAGAGAAUGAUGGACAACUCCCAACAUAUAACUAUUUUAUGCUAGGUUGACGAAACCAACAUUCAAAGACUAUUCUUUAAAUGUCACACAACAUAGAAUUUUAACGUUUGAAGAGCUUGAGUCCUUUUAACAAUUAAAAUCACAAACUCUUAAUAAUAGUCAAGUACUAUUAUUCUUUAGACAACUAUAAACCAAUCCCAUUCAAGUUUAUAUCCAUUUUCACACCUCCCACUAUUUCUCAUGACUUUAAUGAGAAAUCACUUCAUACAUUCAAAAUGUAUAAAAUUGGAGUAUAUUGGAAGAAGACAUUGUGUAGUAGCUUUAGAACAUUUCAAGCUUAUUUGUUUCAAUCUUCACUAAGUCAAUGUCUUGUUAUUUAAGUGACUAAAGUCUUUAAACAAUUUAUAGAUUUAGACACUUCUUUCUUGGUUUAGUCACUAACACAAUUGACAUUUUAAAACAAUUUUAAGAAUG